GUGUUUUUAGUAUAUGGUGAGUACACCUACCUUCCAAGUAGGAAGAUUAGAAAUUAAAAAACAUA
RNAcentral lists this transfer RNA (65 nucleotides) under Amynthas robustus. Its description in RNAcentral is "tRNA-Gly". It matches the Rfam family "tRNA". Rfam says of the family: Transfer RNA (tRNA) molecules are approximately 80 nucleotides in length. Their secondary structure includes four short double-helical elements and three loops (D, anti-codon, and T loops). The record is from RNAcentral. Lineage: Eukaryota; Metazoa; Annelida; Clitellata; Crassiclitellata; Megascolecidae.